CCUACGGGUGGCUGCAGUGAGGAAUAUUGGUCAAUGGACGAGAGUCUGAACCAGCCAAGUAGCGUGAAGGAUGACUGCCCUAUGGGUUGUAAACUUCUUUUAUAUGGGAAUAAAACGUUCCACGUGUGGGAUUUUGUAUGUCCCAUAUGAAUAAGGAUCGGCGAACUCCGUGCCAGCAGCCGCGGUAAUACGGAGGAUCCGAGCGUUAUCCGGAUUUAUUGGGUUUAAAGGGAGCGUAGGUGGAUUGUUAAGUCAGUUGUGAAAGUUUGCGGCUCAACCGUAAAAUUGCAGUUGAAACUGGCAGUCUUGAGUACAGUAGAGGUGGGCGGAAUUCGUGGUGUAGCGGUGAAAUGCUUAGAUAUCACGAAGAACUCCGAUUGCGAAGGCAGUUCACUGGACUGCAACUGACACUGAGGCUCGAAAGUGUGGGUAUCAAACAGGAUUAGAUACCCCUGUAGUC
This 460-nucleotide ribosomal RNA is filed under the name uncultured bacterium. RNAcentral's name for it is "partial 16S ribosomal RNA". It matches the Rfam family "Bacterial small subunit ribosomal RNA", at positions 338 to 795 of the family's 1533-position model. The record is from RNAcentral.